RNAcentral lists this ribosomal RNA (253 nucleotides) under uncultured bacterium. RNAcentral's name for it is "partial 16S ribosomal RNA". It matches the Rfam family "Bacterial small subunit ribosomal RNA", at positions 524 to 776 of the family's 1533-position model. The record is from RNAcentral.
UACAGAGGGGGCAAGCGUUAUUCGGAAUUAUUGGGCGUAAAGGGCGCGUAGGCGGCCUUGCAAGUGGCGGGUGAAAUCCCUCGGCUUAACCGAGGAACUGCCUGCCAGACUGCAAGGCUCGAGACCGGGAGAGGUGAGUGGAAUUCCCAGUGUAGCGGUGAAAUGCGCAGAUAUCAGGAGGAACACCGGUGGCGAAGGCGGUUCUCUGGGCAUGUUCUGACGCUGAGGAGCGAAAGUGUGGGGAGCGAACAGG